Heterocephalus glaber (naked mole-rat) is the source of this 71-nucleotide non-coding RNA. Lineage: Eukaryota; Metazoa; Chordata; Mammalia; Rodentia; Bathyergidae. The record is from Rfam.
GAGGAUGUAGCUCAGUGGUACAGCACCUGCCUAGCAAGCACAAGGCCCCGGGUUCAAUUCCCAGUACCCCG